This is a long non-coding RNA of Raphanus sativus (radish), 1564 nucleotides long. RefSeq lists it as uncharacterized. The transcript is spliced from 7 exons. NCBI's taxonomy places the organism in Eukaryota, Viridiplantae, Streptophyta, Magnoliopsida, Brassicales, Brassicaceae. The record is from RefSeq and is a predicted model, not a curated record.
UAUAUAAAAGAGAGUUUUCAUCUCUCCCAUGAAGCCACCUCAGCAUCCACAUCAGAAAUUAAAGUCACCUAAAGCCAACACGUGUCCAAAAAAAAUCUAACCUAAUGAUAGCGUUUCUUUCUUCUUCGUUGCCUUUUCAGUGUCUCAAUCCAAUUUCUCAGCGGUUCCCAGUUUUAUACGAUUACCAUUGAUUUUACCUAUUACUACUUUUUUUCUUCAAAACAGUAAUAUUUAUCAAGGGCAGCUAAAACUCAGCUUCAGACGAUCUCAACCCAGAAAACAAAAUUGCAGCGAAAUUUCAAACGAAGAUUCAACAACACACUGAUGUCUUUCUAGCUUGAUCUUCCACCUCUUCUGGCAAAGGGUCUGCCUUUCUCUUUUUGAUGCUGCCAAGAAAAAAGCCACCGUUAUAGAGAAUUGUUACAGUGAUUUGAGCAAGGCAGAGACGGGAUAGUCACUCCGGCAACACAGCAAUAGAGAAACUGGAAUUUGAUCUUAUCCACUGACUCAAUUUUUAUUGUUCUUCAGGAAAAUUGAUUUUCAGUAUUUGAUUUUUUUUUAACACAAUUUUUCAGUAUUUGAUUUACAUUUAAUUUUCUAGGUUAUUUGUUUUUUAAAAUAAGAAUCUAGGUUAUAUUGGUAGUAUUUUCAAAACCGUUGAGAAAGAAGAGGCGUCUCUUUUUAGCUACUAGAGCUUCAAGAACAGAGAAUCAUGAUGCUAUAUGGUUGGAAUACUGACACUGAGACACCGAAUCCUUGGUCUGUGCAACACAAGAGCUGAUCUGAGGAAACAGAGUCCAUUUAGCAAUCAACAAGUACACUGAGCCUGGACUGAGUUUAUUAGUUGUUGCAAGACGGACUCUACCUGAGAAAACAAAAAAUAAGCUCGGGUGGUCCUGGUCCAUGUGAAUUCAUUGGUGUGUUGCCUUUGUUUGGUCCUCCAAGACAUGAUAGUGCAUACACCAUUAGAAGAGCUUCAGACCUAGGUGUCAACAUCCAGAUGAUCAUUGUUGAUCAAGCUUUUGCCAAAUAGACUUGACAUAGGCUCGGUAUGGGAUCAGACAUGUAUCCAUCAGCAUCAACUUCUCUACUUGAUAAUCACAAAGACGAAAACUUAGCUGCUGUCGCCCAGAGCACAAGUACAAGAUUGUGAAGAAGUUGCCUGAGUUGAAGCAUACAUGUAGAAUGGCUGGUGAUGAAUGCUCAUGCUUUGAAAGGAGUCAAUAUCGGUAUCGCUGUUUCUGAUGCUACAGAUGCUGCACCAGGCGCUUCUGAUGUUGUUCUCACCAAGGCUUGAGUCAGUGUUAUCAUCAGCGCAAUUUUAACCACUCGAGCUAUUUUCUAAAGAAUGAAAAACUAUACAGCUACAUGGCUUUAGUGACCAUCGUUUCUUCUGCGCUGCUUAGAGAACCAACUUCUUCCUGAUAACUUUCCAUGUGAGAGACUUGAGAUGCAAUGGACUUGAAAGGAUGUGUGCUUUGUAAUUCGGGAGUGUUGUGUGCCAAGCUCUUAUAUUCAUCACUUGAGCAAGAGGCAUGUAUUUUCCAGAACGACCUUCUGAUAG